CCCGCGUCCCUCUCGGGGCGCGGGUCCGUAUCCCCGGUACCUGAUACGGCCGGGACUG
Molecule: non-coding RNA, 58 nt
Filed under: Streptomyces sp. CNT360
Lineage: Bacteria; Bacillati; Actinomycetota; Actinomycetes; Kitasatosporales; Streptomycetaceae
Description: L17-Actino-Proteobacteria ribosomal protein leader
Rfam family: L17-Actino-Proteobacteria ribosomal protein leader
Source: RNAcentral